Molecule: ribosomal RNA, 206 nt
Filed under: uncultured bacterium
Lineage: Bacteria
Description: partial 16S ribosomal RNA
Rfam family: Bacterial small subunit ribosomal RNA
Source: RNAcentral
AGCGCAGGCGGUUUGAUAAGUCUGAAGUAAAAAGGCUGUGGCUUAACCAUAGUAUGCUUUGGAAACUGUCAAACUUGAGUGCAGAAGGGGAGAGUGGAAUUCCAUGUGUAGCGGUGAAAUGCGUAGAUAUAUGGAGGAACACCGGUGGCGAAAGCGGCUCUCUGGUCUGUAACUGACGCUGAGGCUCGAAAGCGUGGGGGCGAAAC